CGGAGAGUUUGAUCCUGGCUCAGGACAAACGCUGGCGGCGUGCCUAACACAUGCAAGUCGAGCGAGAAAGGGGCUUCGGCCCCGAGUAGAGCGGCGAACGGGUGAGUAGCACGUGGGUAACCUGCCUCAAGGACUGGGAUAACUCCGGGAAACCGGGGCUAAUACCGGACGAUGUCGUCUGGCACAAGCCGGGCGACCAAAGGUAGCUUCGGCCUCUGCCUUGAGAUGGGCCCGCGCCCUAUCAGCUUGUUGGUGAGGUAACGGCUCACCAAGGCUACGACGGGUAGCUGGUCUGAGAGGAUGAUCAGCCACACUGGGACUGAGAUACGGCCCAGACUCCUACGGGAGGCAGCAGUGGGGAA
This 362-nucleotide ribosomal RNA is filed under the name Actinomycetota bacterium. Its description in RNAcentral is "bacterial SSU rRNA". It matches the Rfam family "Bacterial small subunit ribosomal RNA", at positions 1 to 361 of the family's 1533-position model. Lineage: Bacteria; Bacillati; Actinomycetota. The record is from RNAcentral.